This 440-nucleotide ribosomal RNA is filed under the name uncultured bacterium. RNAcentral describes it as "partial 16S ribosomal RNA". It matches the Rfam family "Bacterial small subunit ribosomal RNA", at positions 338 to 795 of the family's 1533-position model. The record is from RNAcentral.
CCUACGGGAGGCAGCAGUGGGGAAUAUUGCACAAUGGGGGAAACCCUGAUGCAGCGACGCCGCGUGAGCGAUGAAGUAUUUCGGUAUGUAAAGCUCUAUCAGCAGGGAAGAAUAAUGACGGUAGCUAAGGAGCAAGCCACGGCUAACUACGUGCCAGCAGCCGCGGUAAUACGGAGGAUGCGAGCGUUAUCCGGAUUUAUUGGGUUUAAAGGGUGCGUAGGCGGAAUGCCAAGUCAGCGGUAAAAUCGCGGGGCUCAACCUCGCUCCGCCGUUGAAACUGGCGUUCUUGAGUGGGCGAGAAGUAUGCGGAAUGCGUGGUGUAGCGGUGAAAUGCAUAGAUAUCACGCAGAACUCCGAUUGCGAAGGCAGCAUACCGGCGCCCAACUGACGCUGAAGCACGAAAGCGUGGGUAUCGAACAGGAUUAGAUACCCUAGUAGUC